GACGAACGCUGGCGGCGUGCUUAACACAUGCAAGUCGAACGGAAAGGCCCUGCUUUUGUGGGGUGCUCGAGUGGCGAACGGGUGAGUAACACGUGAGUAACCUGCCCUUGACUUUGGGAUAACUUCAGGAAACUGGGGCUAAUACCGGAUAGGAGCUCCUGCUGCAUGGUGGGGGUUGGAAAGUUUCGGCGGUUGGGGAUGGACUAGCGGCUUAUCAGCUUGUUGGUGGGGUAGUGGCUUACCAAGGCUUUGACGGGUAGCCGGCCUGAUAGGGUGACCGGCCACAUUGGGACUGAGAUACGGCCCAGACUCCUACGGGAGGCAGCAGUGGGGAAUAUUGCACAAUGGGCGGAAGCCUGAUGCAGCAACGCCGCGUGCGGGAUGACGGCCUUCGGGUUGUAAACCGCUUUGGCCUGUGACGAAGCGUGAGUGACGGUAAUGGGUAAAGAAGCACCGGCUAACUACGUG
Molecule: ribosomal RNA, 468 nt
Filed under: uncultured bacterium
Lineage: Bacteria
Description: partial 16S ribosomal RNA
Rfam family: Bacterial small subunit ribosomal RNA
Source: RNAcentral